RNAcentral lists this ribosomal RNA (119 nucleotides) under Pteropus alecto (black flying fox). Lineage: Eukaryota; Metazoa; Chordata; Mammalia; Chiroptera; Pteropodidae. The record is from RNAcentral.
GUCUAUGGCCAUGCUACCCUGAACAAGCACGAUCUCAUCUGAUCUCAGAAGCUAAGCAGGGUCGGGCCUGGUUACUAUUUGGAUGGGAGACCACCUAGGAAGAACAGGUGCUGUAAGCG